Molecule: ribosomal RNA, 403 nt
Filed under: uncultured bacterium
Lineage: Bacteria
Description: partial 16S ribosomal RNA
Rfam family: Bacterial small subunit ribosomal RNA
Source: RNAcentral
GACGAACGCUGGCGGCGUGCCUAAUACAUGCAAGUCGAACGCAGUGGGGACGGGUGAGUGACACGUGGGUAACCUCCCAUCAGAGGGGAUAACACUUGGAAACAGGUGCUAAACCGAUACUGAUGGAUGAACCCGCGGUGCAUUAGCUAGUUGGUGAGGUCUCGGCUCACCAAGGCCACGAUGCAUAGCCGACCUGCAGGGGUGCGUGGCCACCCUGCGACUGAGGCCCAGCCCAGACACCUACGGCGUGCAGCAGUAGGAAAUCUUAGGCAAUGGACGAAAGUCUGACCGUGCAACGCCGCGUGAGUGAAGAGGGUUUUCGGAUCGUAAAACUCUGUUGUUAGAGAAGCGGUAUCUAACCAGAAAGCCACGGCUAACUACGUGCCAGCAGCCGCGGUAAUUC